CCCUGCCAUUUGUACACACCGCCCGUCGCUCCUACCGAUUUCGGGUGUUCAGGUGAACCUUCUGGACUGAGAACGCAAGUUUUCGGGAAGUUAGGUAAAUCUUAACACCUAGAGGAAGGAGAAGUCGUAACAAG
This 134-nucleotide ribosomal RNA is filed under the name uncultured eukaryote. RNAcentral describes it as "partial small subunit ribosomal RNA". It matches the Rfam family "Eukaryotic small subunit ribosomal RNA", at positions 1651 to 1798 of the family's 1831-position model. The record is from RNAcentral.